AUAGAACUCCGCUCCUUUUUAUUGAAUGGAGUAAAUUCGGUUUGCCUGUAGCAUUUAGAAUAUUCACCAAACGCUUUGAAGGUGUGUCUUUAAACCUUAAGAGUCCCUGUAAUCCUUUAAACUGUUUUUUAAUGACAUGGAAUGUGUUUGCCUCUGUUGAUCUUUCAUAUUCAUGAAUUCUUUUAAACAGUUUCUAAAAUCUUUAAAAAUGUGUUUAUUUUUUCUUUGAUCUGAAUUCUUUACAUUCUGAUUGCUCUUAGCAUGAUAGAAUAUACUUUUGCGAGGUUUCCAAGUAAAUUGCUUUAUUGAUCUGAUAUAUUAAUCUAUAUUUGUCAUAAUUUUAAAUUUAAUUUCUCUUCUGAUACUCCUGUGUUUUAUGCCUUUAGAGAAACUCAGUUAAUUUGUUUUUACCAUUUCAAAAUAAGAAAUAUGUUUUGACUCAAUAGUUUUAAUGAUUUACACAGAAAAUUAUGCAUAUUUCCAAACACUCUCUACAUACUUAUGACAAUUCAAAGCAUUAUACUUUCUUAUACAAUGGAUUUGAGAUAGCCAUGUGAUAACCCUCAGAAUUUACUGCUUCCCGGUGAACAUGCCUUGAAUAAUCCCCAUUUUUGAAUACGAUGAAUUUCACUCCUGUGAUUAGGAUAUGUUACAGAUCAAAAGGGAUUUUGCAGAUAUAAUUAAGGCUUCAAAUCAAUUGGCCUUAUAGUAGAUCAUUUGGGUGGGCCUGAGCUAAUCACAUUAGUCCUUUCAAAGAAGAGUUUUCUCCAGGCAGGAAGCCGGAGAGCUAUUCAGCGAUAGACUCCAGGAGUCCUGGAAGAAAGCAAACAGUCAUGGUGUGAAUUGCCUAUGGUGGCCACAUGGUAAAGAACUGCUGCCGGCAUCUAAGAGCUGAGAGUUGACCCAAGUCAACAGCUAGAAGGGUAAUGGGGACCUCAGUCCUAGAGUUACUAGGACAUAGUCUGCCAACAACCAGUGAACUUGGAAGAGAAUCCUGAGGCAAGCUGAGAAUUGCAACUUCAGCCAACAUCUUGAUUUCAGCCCAGGAGACUGAGCAGAGAAUACAGCCACAUGUCCAGACUUAUGACCUGCAGAAUCUCUGAGGAAACUCAAAGCAAGGUGUGUCUUGGAUUGCUCAGCAUCUGCUAAAAUGUCCUUCUACGGUGCCACAUCUGUACUACAGAGGCUGGAAAAUGGUCAUCUACAUCCACAUUUCCCCCUUGACAUGAACUUUCCAUGUCUUGUCCAAGAUCUGAAUUAGGAACUGAGUUCAAUGGGAAGAGAGGAGAGACAUCUAGCACAUCUUGCGGGUGUAGAGUGACUGCACGGCAACGUAGCUGGAGUGGCAUCUGAUCAUCAGGCCACGGUUAAGGUGGUGGAACCUGGAAUCAGUAACUUCCUGACUGUAGCAGAAAUAAUAGUUCCCUGCCUGAGCCUCUUCCGGGAUAAGAUGUGCGAGUUGAACCUGGAACCUGCUGCCCCAACUCUACCAACAAUGUUUUAACACUAGAUUAUGUGAACUAAGUCCAUUUGUACUUAAAUAGCUAGAAUGUUUUCUGUUACCCAGAACUCUGAACCCUGUGUGGAAAGGACUAAUUUGCAUUAUCUCUAUAUCAUAAUAAAAGUAAAUUAAAAUUCAUAUUAGUAGAAAGAAGAUGAAGGCGUGUUUGGAAGGAAAUCUAAACAUUUGGGUCAAGUUUUGUUGUUUGGUUUUGGUAAAUUCUGAGAGGUACUAGUGGAUGAGACAGUCAUUCAACACAGAUUCAAUUGCUCUAUACUCACUGGAUUAGACAUUAAGGAAACAAUGGUAAACAAAAGCAGAAAUAGUCCUUGUCUUUGUCAUACUGUUUAAAGAGGAAUAUAUAUAUAUAGUCAUGCUGCAUAAUGGCGUUUUGGUCAACGAUGAACUGUAUAUCCGAUGGUGGUCCCAUAGAUUAGUACCAUAUAGCCCAGGUGUGUAGUAGGCUAUACCAUCUAGGUUUUAUGAGUAUCCUCUAUGAUGUUCGCACAACGAUGAAAUUGCUUAAUGAUGUAUUUUCCAGAAUGUAGUCCCGUCGGUGAGUGACGUGUGAGUAUAUAUUCAAGCCCAGAAAAUCUUAAUUCUUAGGAUCAUAGUGAAUCACACAAUUAAGUAUUAAAUUGCAAUUGUUAACUUAUGAGGACAAUUUGGUUUGUUAUGAGAAUGUUUAAUGGAAUGGUUUGACUAUUUGAGGGUCAAAGUAUUACCUUCAGAAAAAGAAUAUUAGGGUGAUACGUAAGGAUAAUUUGGAUUUACAUACAAAACAUGAGAGGAGGGGCAGACGGAAUGCCAGUCAGAGGUAACAUGUCCAAAAUCCCCACAUCGACAAAAACAUGGUAUCAUUCAGGAGGUGAAAUUAAACCAUCAUUAGAGCACAGAAAACAAGGGAACCUAGAGGAAGCUGAGACUAGAGAGAUGAGGCGAGAAAAGUCCAAGAGUGUAGGGCCAUCGUGGUCUUGAUAAUAAUUUGCACCCUUAUUUUAAGAGCAAUGAGAUCAGAAAAAUUAAGAGAGGCAUUCCCCUGUUUCUGUGUUUUAUAAUAUGAAGGGAAUAGAGUUGGUUCACAUAGUAAAUAAUUAUUAGAACGAGAUUACAAGGAAUAUUUAAUUCUAAGCACACUUGAGACUGAAUGAUGAACAGGUUCUUCACUUUUUGUCUUUAUUUGCUCCGCUCUGCCUUAACCAUCUUGUUCUUUAGUUUUGCUAUUGUUGUUUUGUUUUUUAUAUACUUUCACUAAUUGGCUUUUCCUGUCACUAGGUUCACUUCUAUAUCAUUGACAGUUGAAUACGCAUUUUUGAUUUAGGCAUUUGUUUUAUAUCUACCCUUCUACUUCCCUACACUUUUCAUUGUUUAAAUUUAUUUCUAUUUCUUAGUUUUGUCCUUAAUGAUAUUUUAAAUUUGUCUUAUGCUGAUUACUCUUUUGGCCAUAAUAAAAAAAUGAGAAUGCUGUUUUGGUUGUCUGAAGAUCAGCUGGUGGGGAAGGUUUUCAGAGAUAAAAAAUAGAUUUCCCAGAAUUCAAUAAGUGCUUAGUUAUUUUGGAACAUAAAUCAUCUUUGCAGAUGGACACAAGAAUAAUGUUGUGUUUUAGGUGUUUUAACUAGUGAUUGUGAUUUUAUGUCAUGUCCUGUAGUGGUCUCCUUGUUAUUAUGAAAUAUAGAUCCUAGUAUUUGUUUCAUUACAACUUUGUUAUACAUUUCCUGCAAGUUUUAAAACAGAUUUUAGAUUUGUGUUAAUCUCUUUAGUCAUUUGUCAAUGUAAUAGAAUAUCAGUGCUAUCUUAGGCAGAAUACAAUUUAAUGAAUCAUAUAUGAGGUUUUCUGUAUUAUUACUUCAAACAACAGUGUAGUAAA
Molecule: long non-coding RNA, 3368 nt
Filed under: Equus caballus (horse)
Lineage: Eukaryota; Metazoa; Chordata; Mammalia; Perissodactyla; Equidae
Description: lncRNA (ENSECAG00000033748.3)
Source: RNAcentral